This 497-nucleotide ribosomal RNA is filed under the name uncultured bacterium. RNAcentral describes it as "partial 16S ribosomal RNA". It matches the Rfam family "Bacterial small subunit ribosomal RNA", at positions 28 to 507 of the family's 1533-position model. The record is from RNAcentral.
GACGAACGCUGGCGGCGUGCCUAAUACAUGCAAGUAGAACGCUGAAGAGAGGAGCUUGCUCUUCUUGGAUGAGUUGCGAACGGGUGAGUAACGCGUAGGUAACCUGCCUUGUAGCGGGGGAUAACUAUUGGAAACGAUAGCUAAUACCGCAUAACAAUGGAUGACCCAUGUCAUUUAUUUGAAAGGGGCAAAUGCUCCACUACAAGAUGGACCUGCGUUGUAUUAGCUAGUAGGUGAGGUAACGGCUCACCUAGGCGACGAUACAUAGCCGACCUGAGAGGGUGAUCGGCCACACUGGGACUGAGACACGGCCCAGACCCCUACGGGAGGCAGCAGUAGGGAAUCUUCGGCAAUGGGGGCAACCCUGACCGAGCAACGCCGCGUGAGUGAAGAAGGUUUUAGGAUAGUAAAGCUCUGUUGUAAGUCAAGAACGAGUGUGAGAGUGGAAAGUUCACACUGUGACGGUAGCUUACCAGAAAGGGACGGAUAACUACGUG